RNAcentral lists this unclassified non-coding RNA (3954 nucleotides) under Patiria miniata (bat star). RNAcentral describes it as "germinal-center associated nuclear protein-like, transcript variant X1". Lineage: Eukaryota; Metazoa; Echinodermata; Asteroidea; Valvatida; Asterinidae. The record is from RNAcentral.
AUCAAUUGUGGGGUUUUUUUCAACAGGCAAGUGCAGCAAUAUAGGAUGGAGGUGCGGAGCUCUGAACCAGUCAAGUUUGCUCUGAAAGCUUUCUCUGCUGUUAGCAGCAACAACUAUGUCAAGUUCUAUAAACUACUCAGAUCUACGACAUAUCUGAAUGCUUGCAUCAUGCAUCGUUACUUCAUGCAAGUACGGAACAUGGCAUUAGAUGUGAUGAACAAAGCCUACACCGUCAGCCAAACCAGAGGAUCUCGCUUCCCAUUGGCUAAGAUCACAACGACACUGGCGUUUGAUAACCAAUCACAGGCAUUAGAGUUCUGUCUGUCUCAUAACCUGGCUGUAGAGGAUGAGAUGAUUCAAUUUAGUCGUGCUGCCUUCCAACAUCCAGACAUCACUCCAUCACCUGAGAGAUCACUGAGGAUCAUUGAAGCCAAGAAUACCAUGACCAUCGGAGAGGUAGUCAAUGGCGGCCCACUACCACCAGAUGUCCUCCACAAAGCUUCGUCAAGUUUUGAUGAGAAUGGCCUCUACAAGGGCUACACAGUCGUCACUACGGAAACAGCAGCACCAGAGAGCAAAGAUGUUGUUCCAGAGAAGGCAGAGCUUGCAGAAAGCAUCCUCAAACCUGCAGAUGACCAGAUCAUGACAGUACCAACUAGUAUUCCGACAGCCGUCCCACAGAUAGCUACUAAAGUACUCUACCCUAGCACGGAGAUAAAAGAGGCUGCACGAGGCUUGUUCUUGGAGGUGAUUGAUGAGAUGGUUCGAGAUCUUAGUAACAGCUUCCUGGGCUGGCUACGUCUCAUUCAAGUUGGUUCAGUGGAGAUUCUACACAGCACUAUCGAGAGAGUAGUAUUACCAUCCAUCAGGGAGAUUGCACAAGGCGUCAUAGACCAAGAACAACACAGACAUCAAGAGACUCAGAUAGCUGAGAUGAAUCGACGUCGUCUGGAGCAACAAGCAAGAGAAGAAGAGAGACAAAGACAAAUCAUGAUGGAAAGGAAAGAGAGAUUGGAACGGACCGUGACUAACGUCAUGGAGGAGACAGUGGAUGAAGUAGUAGAUGAGCAAUCUAGAAUGAUCAGUGCUGCUGAGAUUAGAGCUGUAGAGCAGCAGCUGAAGCAGGAAUGCAUUGAGCGUGCCACAUCUGAGCUGCAUCAUGAGCUGAUUGAGGAGGUCCUCAUGUCAGAAUGUCACCAUGUAGCUGCUGAGGUCAUCCAGUCAGAGACAGAGCUACGAGACCAACGAUUGGCUGAGAGUGAGAGAGCUGUACUGAUGGCACAGACAGCCAGAUACUUACAAAGGUGGUACCGGGUCUACACCAAACGCAUUCAUCUCAAGCGCACCCUACUGACCUUCCCUGCUGCACCGCCCAACCAAACAGCUGCUGAGCAACUGAAGGUACUAUGGGCUGGUAGAACUGAGAGGUCAGAGGUCACAGAAGGCCACCACCGACGAGACGUCACGCUGGACUCACCGUUUGGCAUUGUGACAGGCAGAGAAAGCAUCGCUAGAUCCAUUCUGAAAGUCCACUACCUCAAGAACCUUCGCCAACAACAAGCAUGGUCGCCCCUUGACCUACCCAGCAUGCUUAGCAACUCCUUCCAUUCCCAUCAUGCAUCUGGACAGGCAGGCAAGAGGCAACAGCAUCAUUAUUGGAAACUAGUUGCUUCCUUGCCGAGUGGUAGGUCACAUGACAAGAAGGUGCUCUGUGAUUGGCUGACGGCAAAGCUACAGAGAGGAAGAAUUUCUGAAGGAAUUCGCAAGAAGCAGCUUGAGGAUAAUAGUCAGGUUGAGACGUUGAGUCUAUACUCCAGCAAAGUCCCCCACAUCUCACCUAGCCAACUAUGCACACUCAGCAUCUGUACAAAGGUCAUGGCAGGGUCACUAGACCUAACACAUCAGCCUCAAACACGGCAUCAGCUGCUAGGAACCAGUGGGAUCCUGUUUGGACUGGAUCAACCCAGUCAAGACCAGAACUAUUGGCAACAAGCCAAAUCCAGGCUGGACUCCAUCUUGCAAGCCAAGCCCACAUCACCACCUCCUCCAGUAGUCAUCGCACUCCUUGAUUGGCCAGCUACUGAGCAUGCUCAGAGCAUGUGUGUGGAGAGGCUCGGACUCCAUAGGCUGUCUCAGAUGGGAUUAGUGUCUUCAUAUUGCUUCAUGCAGCUGAAUGGUGAUGUAGAGGAUCCAGUCAAUAACCAAGAGUUGGGUGAGUGCCUAGAAUGGCUUGCCUCACGUUGUGCCCAGCCUCCCCAGCUAUCUGAGGACUCUCUCAAGGGUUACCUAGAUACUGGGAUGACCGAGUUCUUUAGCUUACCACUCCAUGAAGAUGCCAGGACAAGACGGGAUGCUGGUCUUCCUGAACAGGGUUGUCAUCAUGUGAUUGACUUGUACAAUGCUACAGUCAGGCACCUUGCUGAUGUAGCAAGCAGUAGUACCCUGACUUCUCUCUCCUGGCCACCUACAGAGUUUACCAAGACGGAUAAUCAGACAGAGCUUCCAGAUCCUGACUGGAAUGCCUCCGACACCAUGCAGCUACUACGAGAUAGGAUGCUGUCACUAAUACUCCCUGCUCUCCCAUUGGUUCAUGAGGAUGAUGAAUGGCAGCGUGUGUGUGAUCUGUGUCAUGGAUACCUUGCCACCAUUCCUGGCAGUCAUAGGGGUAAAGCACCUCUCUUCGCAAGAGUUCAGAGACUACUUGAGAAAUGUCGUCGUAGCUUUGAAGAUACCUGCUACCUAGCCUAUGAUGCACCAGGCUGUGAGCCAAUGGCAGGCCACGUACCAUGGACAAGAAUCAUACAGGAAUGUAUCGACUAUGUUAUGUCUACUGUACAGUCACAUGACCUUACAGACGGUGAUGAAGGCAAGCAAAUGACUGUUUACUACAUUCAGAGCGAGUUUGAUAGUUUCAAGAUCCCUCAGACCUGGAAAGAAGCUCUUCAUACAACGACAGAAGACAGCUUCCUUCAACCUCCAAGAUUUGCAUCCCAGGUAGCCGCUGUAGUUCAACAAAAGCAGACAGAGUUUAUGGAGAGGCAACUGGAAGCAACAAUGAUUGAGAUGAAGGACAUCAGGAAACCAGCAGUCAGUGUCUUGGACAGGGAGCCAUUGUAUGCUGUUGAUGCCAAGGAGUCAGCUCAAGCUGUCAAGACUGUGCUGUCAUCUGCAAAAGAAGAAUCCAAAAUGUUUGAUGACCUACUACAGCAGUGGCUUCAUGGCACAAAUGAAAUGACAUCACAAGAUGGCAGGACUGAAACGGAUUCCUCGUCUAAAUCCCCAGCAAGCCCACCACGUUUGGAGCAAAGUCUUCAAGACUUAACAUUGGCUAUGGAGUCUGAACGACAAGCUGCUAGACUCACAGAACUCAGACUAGCAAGUCUGCUCAGUCUCUGAACAGUUGUCUUGCUAUGGAAGGGUGUGUCUUAUCAUGCAUUGAUUGAUAUGACAUGUUGCCAUUGAAAUACAAUCGUAUGUUAUUUGUGCACUUUUUUAAGUUGGAGCCACAAAUUGCUCAAAAUAUUAAGAGGGGGCAUAUAACAGCUCCGUGACAACUGAAAACAGAGUAAACAGAGAAACAUGUGCACAACCACUCAGUCAAUUGACUGGUUUUUGGAAAUAAAGAGUGAUAUGGACAAAAUCCUGUUACGUGAUCAAAAGGCUGUGAAAAUGUUUUCAAUGUUUUCUCAAAAAGUGUAAUAUCCAUUGUGCUUAAACUUCAACAGGUUACAUUUUGAACAGUCUGCUUCGGAUUUUGAGUGGUGCUCUUAUUGGAAACGAACAAAACGUAUGAGAAGCGACUGAUCCUAUGUAUGCCUUUAAGUACUUAAGUAACUGUAAAAAGUAAGUAAAGUCUGUCCCGAGCCAAUGUGGCUCAUCAGGCCGGUGUUUAUCUCCGGUUUCCUUGGCAUGAAACGACUGAGAAUAUUUCUACUCCCCCUGAAUGGGAUGCCA